Molecule: unclassified non-coding RNA, 1846 nt
Filed under: Hevea brasiliensis (rubber tree)
Lineage: Eukaryota; Viridiplantae; Streptophyta; Magnoliopsida; Malpighiales; Euphorbiaceae
Source: RNAcentral
AGUAACCACAUACUGUAAUACAAGCUUGAAUAUUAUCAAUUUUCUUAUUCUCUUACGGUAAAUCAACUCAACUCAACAAUGAUUUAAUUCCAAAGUUCAAACUGUGCGGAGUCUCCUAGUGGGGAAAAAAAAUUAUUUCUCCAUUCAAAAGUAUUUCAAGUAUCUUGCCUGCAAAUCCCAAUAUUCUUUCGUUUGUUUCACCAUCUCAGCCCGUUCGGCAACCAUCCUCUCCUUCCAAUACUCUUUGCACAUUGUUUUCAAUAGCAGAUCUAGUUCCAACAUGUGCACCGAAUUAGCAUAUACUCCAGCCAGAUGCUGAGGGUAGAGGACUAGGUUCCUGGUGAUCAAAUCUGGCCUUGAGCAACUCUCUGCAGACAGCACACUUUGCAUCUGGAGUUGCAGCUUUAAGGCCUUGAAAUAUCAAUACAGAAGCGGCUGAGCAAGCACAAGACUUGCAAAAAAGAUGCCCACAGCUCAAGGCAUAUGGAUUAAAAACCGUCUCCUGAGAGAUAAUAACCAAAAUAAAAUAAGAACAUCAAAUGUUAUAUUUUCUUUUUCUUGGAAUGUAGUAGAUGUGAUAUUUUACCAAGCAAAUGGCACAAGUUAGACUAUAUUCUAGCUUUGCAGAGUUUGGAAGCCUCAGCAUUAUGACAGGUUCUGUAGCAUUGAGAUGACAGGAAAAAUGACCACAAAACUCACUAAAUUCUCCACUAUCUGAUCCAUUAAAAUUCAAAUAAAAGGCUCCCAACUCUAUUAGCCAAGGUGAAUGCAAAAGCUCUAGGUGCUCGGCCCGCAUCUUAGAUUUGAAAUUCUUACCAUUGACAGAGCUAUGCACCUAUAUUAAUGAACAGAAAUUCUCAAAAUUGUUUAAAACCAACAAUGACAGCAAUCUAAAAUAUUAGAAAUGGAUUAAAUCAACACAUACUUUAUCGUAUUUAUUUAGGAUUUUGUCAAUAGCGGUUGCACUCAUUGUAAUAUAUUCAAUCAACAUCCAACCUUCUUCUACCAUGGCUUGCUGAUUAUUUUUAAAGCACUGACGUAGUCUCAGUGCAUAUCUUUGCAUUCCUCUAGCAACAUGAAGAUGGAGGAGAUGUCUAACUCUGGAACUAAAGCAUCCAGCUAUAUCUGAAGCUUCUUUCAUCAGUUCAGUAAAGAACAUUUGAUCGCACACUACAAAUUUCACAGAGCUUAAUAACUUUGAUCACACAAGCACAAGCUUCAAACAAUUAGUAAGAUCAAUAUCAAUUAUCACCAAUAUCACAAACUACAGUAUUAGAAUGUAACACUUCUUUGAAAAUACUUUUUUGGUCAGUAGUUUGAUUAUGAGUAUGGAUUGUGCCUAAUUGGCUGAGAAAAAGGCAAUAACUUGGCAAAUUUUGUAUAGCAAUCAUGAUUCCAAUUACCAAAACCUAUUGGUCCCACUAACUCUCUGCACAAAAGUUCAGAAAUUGUAAAUCCACACUAAACUAGUCCUUUCUGGUUGUCCACAACAUGCACCAUAAAAGCCCCAAAACUCAAGGAGUCCAUUAUAGCAAACAUAGUUCUUUAACAGCUAUUACAGAUAAAUCCAAAGAUGCCAAUGAUUAGAAGUGGGGAACUUUUAACUUACAUGGGCAAGAUUGACAUUGACAUAAUUGAGACAAAGUGGAAUUGUCCUUAUCUCCUUGAUCUUGUUCACUUUGACAAGAAUUAUGCAAUGCUUGACAAGUCCUACAGCUCUUUAGAACUUUCUUAAGUCUCUUGUAUUCAACAUGGGAGCAUUUAUCCAAAAGCCUCUCCUUAUCUCCAUGCAGAUACUCCAUGAAAGUCUCCUCAAACUUCAUCCUCUCAAAAUCUGAUCAAAUUC